Molecule: ribosomal RNA, 370 nt
Filed under: Klebsiella pneumoniae
Lineage: Bacteria; Pseudomonadati; Pseudomonadota; Gammaproteobacteria; Enterobacterales; Enterobacteriaceae
Description: partial 23S ribosomal RNA
Rfam family: Bacterial large subunit ribosomal RNA
Source: RNAcentral
UGGUGGGUAGUUUGACUGGGGCGGUCUCCUCCCAAAGCGUAACGGAGGAGCACGAAGGUUAGCUAAUCCUGGUCGGACAUCAGGAGGUUAGUGCAAUGGCAUAAGCUAGCUUGACUGCGAGCGUGACGGCGCGAGCAGGUGCGAAAGCAGGUCAUAGUGAUCCGGUGGUUCUGAAUGGAAGGGCCAUCGCUCAACGGAUAAAAGGUACUCCGGGGAUAACAGGCUGAUACCGCCCAAGAGUUCAUAUCGACGGCGGUGUUUGGCACCUCGAUGUCGGCUCAUCACAUCCUGGGGCUGAAGUAGGUCCCAAGGGUAUGGCUGUUCGCCAUUUAAAGUGGUACGCGAGCUGGGUUUAGAACGUCGUGAGACA